AGGGGAGUGAAAGAGAACCUGAAACCGUGUGCCCACAACCGAUCAAAGCCCCUUAUGAGGGUGAUGAUGUGCUUUUUGUAGAACGAGCCAACGAGUUACGGUAUGUAGCAAGGUUAAGUACUUAAGGUACGGAGCCGAAGGGAAACCAAGUCUUAAUAGGGCGACUAGUUGCAUGCUGUAGACCCGAAACCGGGUGACCUAUCCAUGGCCAGGUUGAAGCGGGGGUAAAACCCCGUGGAGGACCGAACCACGUUGGUGUUGAAAAACCAUGGGAUGAGCUGUGGAUAGCGGAGAAAUUCCAAUCGAACUCGGAGAUAGCUGGUUCUCCUCGAAAUAGCUUUAGGGCUAGCGUGAGGUGAUAUGAGUACUGGAGGUAGAGCACUGAAUGGGCUAGGGGGUAUAGCACUUACCGAACCUUAUCAAACUCCGAAUGCCAGAUACUUUUAGCCUUGCAGUCAGACUGCGAAUGAUAAGGUCCGUAGUCAAAAGGGAAACAGCCCAGAUCGUCAGCUAAGGUCCCAAAGUGUAAGUUAAGUGGAAAAGGAUGUGGGAUUUCUAAGACAACUAGGAUGUUGGCUUAGAAGCAGCCACUCAUUAAAAGAGUGCGUAAUAGCUCACUAGUCGAGAGAUCCUGCGCCGAAGAUGUCCGGGGCUAAAACUUACCACCGAAGCUACGGGAUUGCAAUAGCAAUCGGUAGAGGAGCGUCGUAAUCGGGCUGAAGUCGUACCGUAAGGAGCGGUGGACUGAUUACGAGUGAGAAUGUUGGCAUUAGUAGCGAGAUGUAGGUGAGAAUCCUACAGGCCGAAUACCUAAGGUUUCCUCAGGAAGGUUCGUCCUCUGAGGGUUAGUCGGGACCUAAGCCGAGGCCGAAAGGCGUAGGUGAUGGACAAUCGGUUGAUAUUCCGAUACCACUAUAAUCGUUAUUAUCGAUGGCGUGACGGAGAAGGAUAGAGUGUGCUAGCUAUUGGAUGCUAGUCUAAGCGUUUAGGGAGUCAGGAUAGGCAAAUCCGUCCUGAUAAUUCUGAGGCGUGAUGGGGAAGGUUCUAAGGAACCGAAGUACUUGAUUCCAUGCUUCCAAGAAAAGCGUCUAGAAAGAGAAGUAGUGCCCGUACCGUAAACCGACACAGGUAGGUGAGGAGAGAAUCCUAAGGCCGGCGGAAGAAUCACAGUUAAGGAACUAGGCAAAUUGACCCCGUAACUUCGGGAUAAGGGGUGCCUGCGCGAGCAGGUCGCAGAGAAUAGGCCCAAGCAACUGUUUAGCAAAAACACAGGUCUCUGCUAAAGCGAAAGCUGAUGUAUAGGGGCUGACGCCUGCCCGGUGCUGGAAGGUUAAGGGGAACACUUAGCGCAAGCGAAGGUGUGAACUUAAGCCCCAGUAAACGGCGGCCGUAACUAUAACGGUCCUAAGGUAGCGAAAUUCCUUGUCAGGUAAGUUCUGACCCGCACGAAUGGCGUAAUGAUUUGGGCACUGUCUCAACUGUGAAUCCGGCGAAGUUGUAGUGCGAGUGAAGAUGCUCGCUACCCGCGAUUGGACGGAAAGACCCCGUAGAGCUUUACUGUAGCUUAGCAUUGAAUUUCGGUAUUGUCUGUACAGGAUAGGUGGGAGACUAGGAAACCAGAGCGUCAGCUUUGGCGGAGUCACCCUUGGGAUACCACCCUGAUAGUACUGAGGUUCUAACUGGAUGCCAUGAAUCUGGUGACAGGACAUUGUUAGGUGGGCAGUUUGACUGGGGCG
Molecule: ribosomal RNA, 1736 nt
Filed under: human gut metagenome
Description: bacterial LSU rRNA
Rfam family: Bacterial large subunit ribosomal RNA
Source: RNAcentral